UACGUAGGGUGCGAGCGUUGUCCGGAAUUACUGGGCGUAAAGAGCUCGUAGGUGGUUUGUCGCGUUGUUCGUGAAAACUCACAGCUCAACUGUGGGCGUGCGGGCGAUACGGGCAGACUAGAGUGCGGUAGGGGAGACUGGAAUUCCUGGUGUAGCGGUGGAAUGCGCAGAUAUCAGGAGGAACACCGAUGGCGAAGGCAGGUCUCUGGGCCGCAACUGACGCUGAGGAGCGAAAGCAUGGGGAGCGAACAGG
Molecule: ribosomal RNA, 253 nt
Filed under: uncultured bacterium
Lineage: Bacteria
Description: partial 16S ribosomal RNA
Rfam family: Bacterial small subunit ribosomal RNA
Source: RNAcentral